GGCCUUCGUCAAUGAGCAAGCCCAUACCGCAUAUUAAGUUUUAAAAAAAGUCCCCGAAAUGGAAAAUGUAAAAUCAUUCAAACGAGUAAACGAUUUAUGUAUAGAGCAUUUAUAAAAAAUGAUAUUCAGCAACAAAUAAUGUCACUAAAUUACGGGCUACUGGCUUGGUACAGGCACAUGGCAUUGCAGAGAAUGUAAAGAGGGGAGGUAAACAUUUUUGCUGUUUCUAAACCCCCUUUAAACCAGGAACAGCGGUGUAACAGUACGACAUAAGAACAAAC
RNAcentral lists this long non-coding RNA (281 nucleotides) under Mytilus galloprovincialis (Mediterranean mussel). Lineage: Eukaryota; Metazoa; Mollusca; Bivalvia; Mytilida; Mytilidae. The record is from RNAcentral.